CUGGUUGAUCCUGCCAGUAGUCAUAUGCUUGUCUCAAAGAUUAAGCCAUGCAUGUCUAAGUAUAAGUUCUGUACUGCGAAACUGUGAAUGGCUCAUUAUAACAGUUAUUAUUCCCUGGCCGGUCAGUGAUUCCUUGGAUACCCAUGGUAAUUCUAGAGCUAAUACAUGCUUAAAAACCCGACUUCUUGAAGGGUUGCGCUUAUUAGAUACCGAACCAACCCAGGCUCUGCCUGGUUUUCGUUGAUUCAUAGUGUUCUGGCGAAUCGACUCGCAAGAGUCGAUGAGGCUAUCAAGUUUCUGACCUAUCAGCUUCCGACGGUAGGAUAUUGGCCUACCGUGGCUUUGACGGGUAACGGAGAAUUAGGGUUCGAUUCCGGAGAGGGAGCCUGAGAAACGGCUACCAUAUCUAAGGAAGGCAGCAGGCGCGUAAAUUACCCAAUCCUGACACAGGGAGGUAGUGACAAGAAAUAUCAAUAUAAGACGUUUCUGUCUUGUAAUUGGGAUGAGCGAAACAUAAACCGCUUCUCGAGUAUCAAUUGGAGGGCAAGUCUGGU
Molecule: ribosomal RNA, 554 nt
Filed under: uncultured eukaryote
Lineage: Eukaryota
Description: SSU rRNA
Rfam family: Eukaryotic small subunit ribosomal RNA
Source: RNAcentral